This is a small nuclear RNA of Pseudophryne corroboree (corroboree frog), 112 nucleotides long. RefSeq annotates it as U5 spliceosomal RNA. NCBI's taxonomy places the organism in Eukaryota, Metazoa, Chordata, Amphibia, Anura, Myobatrachidae. The transcript has a single exon. The record is from RefSeq and is a predicted model, not a curated record.
AUACUCUGGUUUCUCUUCACAUCGAAUAAAUCUUUCGUUUUUUACUAAAGUUUCAGUAGAGAGAAACAACCAUGAGUUUAAUAUGUUCAGCAAUAACAUAUAUAUAUAUGAC